This 437-nucleotide ribosomal RNA is filed under the name uncultured Clostridiales Family IV bacterium. RNAcentral describes it as "bacterial SSU rRNA". It matches the Rfam family "Bacterial small subunit ribosomal RNA", at positions 341 to 792 of the family's 1533-position model. Lineage: Bacteria; Bacillati; Bacillota; Clostridia; Eubacteriales; Eubacteriales Family IV. Incertae Sedis. The record is from RNAcentral.
ACGGAAGGCAGCAGUGGGGGAUAUUGCACAAUGGAGGAAACUCUGAUGCAGCAACGCCGCGUGAGGGAAGAAGGUCUUCGGAUUGUAAACCUCUGUUUUUGGUGAAGAAAUAAAUGACGGUAGCCAAAGAGGAAGCCACGGCUAACUACGUGCCAGCAGCCGCGGUAAUACGUAGGUGGCAAGCGUUGUCCGGAUUUACUGGGUGUAAAGGGUGCGCAGGCGGGACUGCAAGUUGGAUGUGAAAUGGCGGAGCUUAACUCCGGAGCUGCAUCCAAAACUGUGGUUCUUGAGUGGAGUAGAGGUAAGCGGAAUUCCGAGUGUAGCGGUGAAAUGCGUAGAUAUUCGGAUGAACACCGGUGGCGAAGGCGGCUUACUGGGCUCUAACUGACGCUGAGGCACGAAAGCACGGGUAGCAAACAGGAUUAGAUACCCUGGUA